RNAcentral lists this ribosomal RNA (473 nucleotides) under uncultured bacterium. Its description in RNAcentral is "bacterial SSU rRNA". It matches the Rfam family "Bacterial small subunit ribosomal RNA", at positions 335 to 801 of the family's 1533-position model. The record is from RNAcentral.
ACUCCUACGGGAGGCAGCAGUGGGGAAUAUUGCACAAUGGGCGCAAGCCUGAUGCAGCCAUGCCGCGUGUAUGAAGAAGGCCUUCGGGUUGUAAAGUACUUUCAGCAGUGAGGAAGGUGGAUGCGUUAAUAGCGUAUUCAUUUGACGUUAGCUGCAGAAGAAGCACCGGCUAACUCCGUGCCAGCAGCCGCGGUAAUACGGAGGGUGCGAGCGUUAAUCGGAAUUACUGGGCGUAAAGCGCAUGCAGGUGGUUUGUUAAGUCAGAUGUGAAAGCCCGGGGCUCAACCUCGGAAUUGCAUUUGAAACUGGCAGACUAGAGUACUGUAGAGGGGGGUAGAAUUUCAGGUGUAGCGGUGAAAUGCGUAGAGAUCUGAAGGAAUACCGGUGGCGAAGGCGGCCCCCUGGACAGAUACUGACACUCAGAUGCGAAAGCGUGGGGAGCAAACAGGAUUAGAUACCCUGGUAGGAUAGCC